Molecule: long non-coding RNA, 920 nt
Organism: Acinonyx jubatus (cheetah)
Lineage: Eukaryota; Metazoa; Chordata; Mammalia; Carnivora; Felidae
Exons: 2
Source: RefSeq, a predicted model, not a curated record
GGGAAGUUUGGUGGAGGGUAAGGGUUCCUUCCUGGAUCCCUCGUUCUCUCCCACGAUGGAAAUUCCUGGGAGGAUCUUAAUGGGGACACAAUUUCUUCUCACCCUCCCCUUCGACUUCUCCAUUUCUUCACAUUCUGCUUAAUGGAGGGGGCGGGGGGAGCGAUCUGGUUAAUCCUAGAUUCUCUCAAAUUUUCUCCCUUAAAGGCUACCUUCAGACUCCCAAAGUUCCCUUCUCUGCCAAUUUAUGAAGGGUUCCUGCGGGGUGAACCCUUUCCCCAGCACAGACGGGGGCGAUGGGCCUGGAGGGCCCCAUCCCUCUCACCGCCCCCCAACCGCCCCAGGAAGAGAGAGACAGAGCAUGAACGGGGGAGGGGCAGAGAGAGAGGAAGACACAGAAUCCGAAGCAGAUCCAGGCUCUGAACUGUCAGCACGGAGCCUGACGCGGGGCUCAAACUCACAGACCACGAGAUCAUGACCUGAGCCGAAGUCGGACGCUCAACCGACUGAGCCACCCGGGCGCCCCACUUAUUAUUAUUUUUUUGAGAGAGACAGAAGAGUGUGUGCAAGUGGGGGAGGGGAAGAGGGGAGAGAGAGAGAGAGAGGGAGAGAGAGAGGAUCCCAAGCACGCUCUGUGCUAUCCACAUAGAGCUCGAUACAGGGCUGGAUCCCAUGAACUGCAAGAUCAUGACCUGAGCUGAGAUCAAAAGUCCGACGCUUAACCAACUGAGCCACCCAAGCACCCUGAACUGUGUGAUCACUUAAGGGUCCAUUCAGCCCGAAAAUACUUCAAAAACAUUGGAUUUGGGGUGGUUUGAUUUUUGUUUUUUGUUUUCAGAUGGUGAGUGGAAUUUCCCCUCUCAUGAGACUUUCUGCGAGAGGGAAGUAGGAGAAGGGGAAAUAAACAUUCUGGGGUUCCUCCA